AAUAUUAUACAAGGGGGUCAACCCUGUGCCAGCCAUGCCGCUUUUGUGAAGAAGUUCUUCGGAUUGAAAAGCACUGUAAGUUGGGGGAAAGGGCAGUAAGUAAUUACCUUGCGGUUUUGAGAUUACGUACAGAAUAAGCACCGGCUAACUCUGUUCCACCAGCCACGGGAAUACGAAGGGUUAAAGCGUUAAUCGGAAUUACUGGGCGUAAAGCGCGCGUAGGUGGUUUGUUAACUUGGAAGUGCAAGCCCCGGGCUCAACCUGGGAACUGCUUUCAAAAAUGGAAAGCUAGAGUAUGGCAGAGGGUCGUGGAAGUUCCUGUGUAGCGGUGAAAUGCGUAGAUAUAGGAAGGACCACCAGUGGCGAAGGCGACCACCUGGGCUAAUACUGACACUGAGGUGCGAAAGCGUGGGGAGCAAAC
Molecule: ribosomal RNA, 421 nt
Filed under: uncultured bacterium
Lineage: Bacteria
Description: partial 16S ribosomal RNA
Rfam family: Bacterial small subunit ribosomal RNA
Source: RNAcentral